UUCCUGAAAUAAUAUGAACAACGGGUGCUUAUUUUUAAACCACAGUAAAAGCUAAAACCCAGUUUGUUUUUGUUCUUUGUGGCUCCCUUUAGGAAGACUGAUGUGAAUUUAUAUGAGGCCAAACCUGCACAUUCAUUCUUGCUCUAUUCCCAGCACAGGCUGUUUGGGAAGCAAGAAGCCAUGUCUCUCUGACACAUGCUGGCAGGGAAGGAGAAAAAUCCCCCUCUGCCCCAAACAAGCAAAACUGAAACCAAUCAAUGUUUGCCACUAAACAUACUUAAAGAUUUAGCAAUAAGCUGAUUCCAUGCCGCUGGUGGAAGACGGAGGAAUGCUUGAGGGAACGUUUAUUGCAUGCUGAAUCCAGAGCUGGAAACCAGAGAAUUCUGCCCAGGCCCUUUGCAGUGUCCUAGGGCACGCUUACUUCCAGGCUUUAGGAGUGAGAGUUCACUGGCUUAAGUGAGGAGUACACAGGACCUGCACAUCUGACCUCUCUCAAGGACUAGGCAUUGAGCUGGGAGAUAGGAAGAUCAACAGGAUCAGAGCUUUGCCUUCAAGGAGCCACACAAAAGGGAGUGGGUCCAUUCUGUUCUGCAUCAGUAGAAACCAUACCUGUUUGCCAUUGUGAGUUACAGAUGACAGAAUGGUCCUCAGUGUCUUGAAGCCCAUUGCGAUGUCCAAUAGAACACAACAGUUCCCUAUUCUCCAGAGACCACCCAAGUUGGUGAUAAGGAAAUGGAGACCUCCUACUAUUCACUGACCUCUCA
This 764-nucleotide long non-coding RNA is filed under the name Homo sapiens (human). RNAcentral describes it as "HSALNT0380515". The record is from RNAcentral. Lineage: Eukaryota; Metazoa; Chordata; Mammalia; Primates; Hominidae.